Long non-coding RNA from Suricata suricatta (meerkat), 514 nucleotides. RefSeq lists it as uncharacterized. The transcript has 2 exons. NCBI's taxonomy places the organism in Eukaryota, Metazoa, Chordata, Mammalia, Carnivora, Herpestidae. The record is from RefSeq and is a predicted model, not a curated record.
CCUCUGGUGGUUCUGGGGGCCCAGCACUCGAGAGCGCCUCCCGGCGGCUGGCAGACGUGGUGCAGGGCUUGCGCGGCUGGGCCCCAGAGGCGGUGGGACCGCGUGGGGCCGUUGUUCCCUGAUGAUGCGCACGUUUCAAUAGUACGGCUUCGCCACUCUCCCUGCAUCUUCUACCGAACUGGGUAUUUUUAAGCUCCCGUGUCACAGGGAAUUGGCUAGAAAGUUCAUGGGCGAAAAGCCGAGCAUCUCAACCAUGGCAUUUUGUUUUUGAUGUUUGGGGCUGGAGAAUUCCUGCUGGGCGGGGGGCUGUCUGUGCGCUGGAUGGGGGUUACCCUGCUACUCGUCUGGCCCCAGCCGCCCCCUGGAGGACACAGCACCCCAGGAACGCCACUGGUCUGAGUGAUCUUCCCAGAUGCCUGCAAAGGAAAACACACUCAUCAUCUCUUCACAGCUGGGUGUUUUCUAAGCCCCCGAACACGGCACACAGAUGCGCACCUACUGUGUGCUGCUACUC